RNAcentral lists this ribosomal RNA (380 nucleotides) under uncultured eukaryote. RNAcentral describes it as "partial 18S ribosomal RNA". It matches the Rfam family "Eukaryotic small subunit ribosomal RNA", at positions 592 to 976 of the family's 1831-position model. The record is from RNAcentral.
CAAUAGCGUAUAUUAAAGUUGUUGCAGUUAAAAAGCUCGUAGUUGGAUUUGUGGCGUACGGUGUGUUCCGGGCACUUGUUGUCUGAGUAACCUGCUGUUGCCAUCCUUGGGUGGAACCUGUGUGGCAUUAGGUUGUCGUGCAGGGGAUGCCCAUCAUUUACUGUGAAAAAAUUAGAGUGUUCAAAGCAGGCUUAUGCCGUUGAAUAUAUUAGCAUGGAAUAAUGAGAUAGGACUUUUUUGCUAUUUUGUUGGUUUGCGCAAAGAGGUAAUGAUUAAUAGGGACAGUUGGGGGUAUUCGUAUUCCAUUGUCAGAGGUUAAAUUCUUGGAUUUUUGGAAGACGAACUACUGCGAAAGCAUUUACCAAGGAUGUUUUCAUUAA